RNAcentral lists this ribosomal RNA (253 nucleotides) under uncultured bacterium. Its description in RNAcentral is "partial 16S ribosomal RNA". It matches the Rfam family "Bacterial small subunit ribosomal RNA", at positions 524 to 776 of the family's 1533-position model. The record is from RNAcentral.
UACGAAGGGGGCUAGCGUUGCUCGGAAUCACUGGGCGUAAAGGGUGCGUAGGCGGGUCUUUAAGUCAGGGGUGAAAUCCUGGAGCUCAACUCCAGAACUGCCUUUGAUACUGAGGAUCUUGAGGUCGGGAGAGGUGAGUGGAACUGCGAGUGUAGAGGUGAAAUUCGUAGAUAUUCGCAAGAACACCAGUGGCGAAGGCGGCUCACUGGCCCGAUACUGACGCUGAGGCACGAAAGCGUGGGGAGCAAACAGG